UGGGGAAUCUUCCGCAAUGGACGAAAGUCUGACGGAGCAACGCCGCGUGAGUGAUGACGGCCUUCGGGUUGUAAAGCUCUGUUAAUCGGGACGAAUGGUUCUUGUGCAAAUAGUGCGAGGAUUUGACGGUACCGGAAUAGAAAGCCACGGCUAACUACGUGCCAGCAGCCGCGGUAAUACGUAGGUGGCAAGCGUUGUCCGGAAUUAUUGGGCGUAAAGCGCGCGCAGGCGGAUUGGUCAGUCUGUCUUAAAAGUUCGGGGCUUAACCCCGUGAUGGGAUGGAAACUGCCAAUAUAGAGUAUCGGAGAGGAAAGUGGAAUUCCUAGUGUAGCGGUGAAAUGCGUAGAUAUUAGGAAGAACACCAGUGGCGAAGGCGACUUUCUGGACGAAAGCUGACGCUGAGGCGCGAAAGCCAGGGGGGCGAACGAG
This 429-nucleotide ribosomal RNA is filed under the name bacterium. RNAcentral's name for it is "partial 16S ribosomal RNA". It matches the Rfam family "Bacterial small subunit ribosomal RNA", at positions 355 to 776 of the family's 1533-position model. The record is from RNAcentral.